GGGUUGUGAGGUUAAGCGACUAAGCGUACACGGUGGAUGCCCUGGCAGUCAGAGGCGAUGAAGGACGUGCUAAUCUGCGAUAAGCGUCGGUAAGGUGAUAUGAACCGUUAUAACCGGCGAUUUCCGAAUGGGGAAACCCAGUGUGAUUCGUCACACUAUCAUUAACUGAAUCCAUAGGUUAAUGAGGCGAACCGGGGGAACUGAAACAUCUAAGUACCCCGAGGAAAAGAAAUCAACCGAGAUUCCCCCAGUAGCGGCGAGCGAACGGGGAGCAGCCCAGAGCCUGAAUCAGUGUGUGUGUUAGUGGAAGCGUCUGGAAAGGCGCGCGAUACAGGGUGACAGCCCCGUACACAAAAAUGCACAUACUGUGAGCUCGAUGAGUAGGGCGGGACACGUGGUAUCCUGUCUGAAUAUGGGGGGACCAUCCUCCAAGGCUAAAUACUCCUGACUGACCGAUAGUGAACCAGUACCGUGAGGGAAAGGCGAAAAGAACCCCGGCGAGGGGAGUGAAAAAGAACCUGAAACCGUGUACGUACAAGCAGUGGGAGCACAGAGCAAUCUGUGUGACUGCGUACCUUUUGUAUAAUGGGUCAGCGACUUAUAUUCUGUAGCAAGGUUAACCGAAUAGGGGAGCCGAAGGGAAACCGAGUCUUAACUGGGCGUUAAGUUGCAGGGUAUAGACCCGAAACCCGGUGAUCUAGCCAUGGGCAGGUUGAAGGUUGGGUAACACUAACUGGAGGACCGAACCGACUAAUGUUGAAAAAUUAGCGGAUGACUUGUGGCUGGGGGUGAAAGGCCAAUCAAACCGGGAGAUAGCUGGUUCUCCCCGAAAGCUAUUUAGGUAGCGCCUCGUGAAUUCAUCUCCGGGGGUAGAGCACUGUUUCGGCAAGGGGGUCAUCCCGACUUACCAACCCGAUGCAAACUGCGAAUACCGGAGAAUGUUAUCACGGGAGACACACGGCGGGUGCUAACGUCCGUCGUGAAGAGGGAAACAACCCAGACCGCCAGCUAAGGUCCCAAAGUCAUGGUUAAGUGGGAAACGAUGUGGGAAGGCCCAGACAGCCAGGAUGUUGGCUUAGAAGCAGCCAUCAUUUAAAGAAAGCGUAAUAGCUCACUGGUCGAGUCGGCCUGCGCGGAAGAUGUAACGGGGCUAAACCAUGCACCGAAGCUGCGGCAGCGACGCUGAUGCGUUGUUGGGUAGGGGAGCGUUCUGUAAGCCUGUGAAGGUGUGCUGUGAGGCAUGCUGGAGGUAUCAGAAGUGCGAAUGCUGACAUAAGUAACGAUAAAGCGGGUGAAAAGCCCGCUCGCCGGAAGACCAAGGGUUCCUGUCCAACGUUAAUCGGGGCAGGGUGAGUCGACCCCUAAGGCGAGGCCGAAAGGCGUAGUCGAUGGGAAACAGGUUAAUAUUCCUGUACUUGGUGUUACUGCGAAGGGGGGACGGAGAAGGCUAUGUUGGCCGGGCGACGGUUGUCCCGGUUUAAGCGUGUAGGCUGGUUUUCCAGGCAAAUCCGGAAAAUCAAGGCUGAGGCGUGAUGACGAGGCACUACGGUGCUGAAGCAACAAAUGCCCUGCUUCCAGGAAAAGCCUCUAAGCAUCAGGUAACAUCAAAUCGUACCCCAAACCGACACAGGUGGUCAGGUAGAGAAUACCAAGGCGCUUGAGAGAACUCGGGUGAAGGAACUAGGCAAAAUGGUGCCGUAACUUCGGGAGAAGGCACGCUGAUAUGUAGGUGAAGUCCCUCGCGGAUGGAGCUGAAAUCAGUCGAAGAUACCAGCUGGCUGCAACUGUUUAUUAAAAACACAGCACUGUGCAAACACGAAAGUGGACGUAUACGGUGUGACGCCUGCCCGGUGCCGGAAGGUUAAUUGAUGGGGUCAGCGCAAGCGAAGCUCUUGAUCGAAGCCCCGGUAAACGGCGGCCGUAACUAUAACGGUCCUAAGGUAGCGAAAUUCCUUGUCGGGUAAGUUCCGACCUGCACGAAUGGCGUAAUGAUGGCCAGGCUGUCUCCACCCGAGACUCAGUGAAAUUGAACUCGCUGUGAAGAUGCAGUGUACCCGCGGCAAGACGGAAAGACCCCGUGAACCUUUACUAUAGCUUGACACUGAACAUUGAGCCUUGAUGUGUAGGAUAGGUGGGAGGCUUAGAAGUGUGGACGCCAGUCUGCAUGGAGCCGACCUUGAAAUACCACCCUUUAAUGUUUGAUGUUCUAACGUUGACCCGUAAUCCGGGUUGCGGACAGUGUCUGGUGGGUAGUUUGACUGGGGCGGUCUCCUCCUAAAGAGUAACGGAGGAGCACGAAGGUUGGCUAAUCCUGGUCGGACAUCAGGAGGUUAGUGCAAUGGCAUAAGCCAGCUUGACUGCGAGCGUGACGGCGCGAGCAGGUGCGAAAGCAGGUCAUAGUGAUCCGGUGGUUCUGAAUGGAAGGGCCAUCGCUCAACGGAUAAAAGGUACUCCGGGGAUAACAGGCUGAUACCGCCCAAGAGUUCAUAUCGACGGCGGUGUUUGGCACCUCGAUGUCGGCUCAUCACAUCCUGGGGCUGAAGUAGGUCCCAAGGGUAUGGCUGUUCGCCAUUUAAAGUGGUACGCGAGCUGGGUUUAGAACGUCGUGAGACAGUUCGGUCCCUAUCUGCCGUGGGCGCUGGAGAACUGAGGGGGGCUGCUCCUAGUACGAGAGGACCGGAGUGGACGCAUCACUGGUGUUCGGGUUGUCAUGCCAAUGGCACUGCCCGGUAGCUAAAUGCGGAAGAGAUAAGUGCUGAAAGCAUCUAAGCACGAAACUUGCCCCGAGAUGAGUUCUCCCUGACCCUUUAAGGGUCCUGAAGGAACGUUGAAGACGACGACGUUGAUAGGCCGGGUGUGUAAGCGCAGCGAUGCGUUGAGCUAACCGGUACUAAUGAACCGUGAGGCUUAACCUUACAACGCCGAAGGUGUUU
Molecule: ribosomal RNA, 2933 nt
Filed under: Escherichia coli
Lineage: Bacteria; Pseudomonadati; Pseudomonadota; Gammaproteobacteria; Enterobacterales; Enterobacteriaceae
Also listed under: 1 other name
Description: bacterial LSU rRNA
Rfam family: Bacterial large subunit ribosomal RNA
Source: RNAcentral